AUUUAAGGAGCAAGAUUUGACAGACCCCAAAGGAAUGAAUUGUUGCUCUUUCCAAUCUACAUGUGGGUUGUGUUUGUGUAACUAAGGAAAUCCCAAAACCAAUGCACAAGAAGGCGAGUUAAUGAAAUGGAACACUAUUUCUUCCUCAUGUAAGAGACAAACAGAUAGGGUAAUGGUCUCUUUCUUAUGAGUAACCAUGGGAAUGGUUAAUGGUCUACUAUCUAUGGCCUUACCGGCCAAGGGUGUUCUCAGCUUAAGUGGCAGAUAAAUAGAUGUUGCAUAACUAAGGUCUAUAAAAUAGUUGGUGGCUGCAGAGUCAAUGACAGUCAUAGUAUGGAUAACAGUAGAACCACAUCCCAGACAUACAGGAAGGAGGAGAUGAGUAUUUAGGGAACAGCGACAACACAUACAAGAUCUCAGUUCCUAGGGUUUUCCGAGCGGCUGGACAAUUACUUCUUAGAUGUCCUGUCCUUCCACACUAUAGGCAUAACACUUCUGUUCUUCUAUACAUUCUGUCUC
Molecule: non-coding RNA, 519 nt
Organism: Pelobates cultripes (western spadefoot toad)
Lineage: Eukaryota; Metazoa; Chordata; Amphibia; Anura; Pelobatidae
Source: the annotation of a GenBank genome assembly